CUGAUUUUAAAAGAAAUUAAAACAUUUUCAUGGGUCCCUCUGAGCACGAUUGGCUCUGAGCACUGUGGUUUAAUUGUGCCAGAUAGAUAUGUAAGCCCUGGGUCUAGGACCUUCCAAAAGGUUAGGACCCCUGUGAAUUUAAUUUUAUAUGUAUUUUUUAUUACUUUUUUUGUUUGUUUGUUUUUGGUUACAGGCUUUAGUUAGUUCUGCUCCCGGUGAAUUUUAAAACGUCACGUUUGUGGCUUUAAGAGAGGCCCUCUUGCAAAUUCCCUGGCGGUCCUCUGGUUCCGACUCUGCCCUUUCAUUGACGAGGGCCUAGGUUCAAGCCCUGCUGAGGGUACUAAGAUCCCGCUGGGUGACUCGGCCAAAAUAUAUAUAUAUAUAUAUAUAUAUAUAUAUGCGCCAUCAUGCUGUCUGUCCCUCUUCCAACCACAAAAGCGUCCCCAAACCCCUCCAGGGUGGCCAUGAUUCCCACUCUCACCCCUGUCCCCAAUUAUCCCAUCCCUUUUGUUUUUUUCCUGGAAAACAUUAAUUAUCCAUUGAGAUGCACUAAAUUGUGGUGCUUUCUCACUAGACUGUGGGUCCCCGCAGACAGGGUUUUUGUCCCUGCGGAGCCCCGUGGUGGUCUCCCGGGCUCGGGCCUCCCAGAGGUCCCCAAAUACGGUCUACGUGGCAGCCGGGGAGGUAGAGAGGACGUCGCUGGGGCGCCUCAGGGACUUUCCCUGUCCCGCUGGGAAAGCGUGAUCUCACCCGGUUCCUCCCUCCUCGCCGGACGCGGAAGAGGCGGGCGGAGGCCGUGCGCCUGGGGCUACAGGCGCGCCCUCCGCGCCCUGCCAUCCGCGGGCAUCGCCACCAGGCCAUCAGGCCACCAACAUCCGCCCCGAGGACCCGAGCAGUGCGGCCGGUCGCCCCCGCGACCCCAGGUCAGUUCUACAGCCCCCAGGGGUCCUGGUGCCCGUGAGCAGGGUGGAGACACCGGGCCUGCAGCGCAGCGGGGCGGCGUGCGGAACAUGACUUCAUCAUCCAGUGUUUCUCCCGCAGCCGCUGGA
RNAcentral lists this long non-coding RNA (1049 nucleotides) under Bos grunniens (domestic yak). RNAcentral's name for it is "lncRNA (ENSBGRG00000013855.1)". The record is from RNAcentral. Lineage: Eukaryota; Metazoa; Chordata; Mammalia; Artiodactyla; Bovidae.